RNAcentral lists this long non-coding RNA (1223 nucleotides) under Ananas comosus (pineapple). Its description in RNAcentral is "long non-coding RNA (ACOM_LNC013322)". The record is from RNAcentral. Lineage: Eukaryota; Viridiplantae; Streptophyta; Magnoliopsida; Poales; Bromeliaceae.
UAUAUAAUUGAAACAUGUUGGUAAAGCUUUCUAAAAUAUUCGAUAAAUCAUAUUUGAUCCAGAUCCUAUCCGGCCCAAACCGAACCUGAUAAAAUAUAGAUAGCUAACGGGUAAAAAAAAAUUAUCCAUUAAAGUUUCGAGUAUGAAUACGGAUAUUUUAUACCCAUACCUGAUUUGGACCCGAUCCAAACCCAACUUUUAAAUGGGUAGGAUCCGAAAUAGUUUUCAAAUCUAGACCCAGACUCAAAUCUGAUGAUAUAUCCGAUAGUAAAUAAAAAAGAUUUGAACUUUUGAAGUUGAGAGAUCAAUUUUAAUAGGACUUAUAAAUGAAGGGUCUCUAAAUAUUUUUAUUCUAAUAAAACACUAAAAUCCUAGCCGCUCUUUUACUCUUUUUUAAAUUUUUUUUUAAUUUUUUAUUUUUUACUCUUUAUUUUUUUGUUUCAUUUCCGCCUAAGAGUUUUUUAUGAAACAAUAUUUCUAUCAUUGUCAUCAUCAACAAUAUUAAUCUUAUAUAGGCGUGGCACAAAUGAGUUUUUUCCAAAUCCCUUCUCCAAUCAUAGUCAACAACCUAGUUUUUUUUUAAUAAAUAUUCUAUUUAGUAAAUUUUCUGAUUCCUCUUUAUUUUUUUUCCUUUUUUUUUAAUAUUAAUAUAUAAAUAUUAGUAAUUAUUACAACUUAUAUUCUCUUUAUCUAUAUCAUGGUAUCAUAAUUUUCUUAUUUUUGCGUGCUUAUAUAUGAAAUUGUUUUAAAUUUUAGGCUUUUAAUUAAUCAAUCAAUAUAAUGGCCGAAAUAAGUUCUGUCCAGAUAAUUUAAUAAAGUCUAUAAAAAAAUAUAUAUGUAUAUGAAUAUCCGUACCCGAUUUAGACUCGACCUAUAUCCGGUCAUGAAUGGGUAAUGUACGGGUAGGGUAGUCACUACCCAUACCCACUCAAAUAGACCCAAUGGGUAUAUUAAUAACUUAAAAUAUCCAGACCCGAAUUCGACCCGAAGUUAAAUGGAUAGAGUUUUUUUUUUUUUGUAACCAUUUUUUUUAGGGUAUGGAUACCGACCGUUCCUAGAGUAAGUGGCAAAGGGCUUGAUGGUUGGUACCCGAGACCCAAGUUUGAAUCCUAGUUGAUUCACAUUUCUAGCUAAGUUUAUUUCUAAAUGAAAUAAACGAAGCGGAUAGCGUGCUAUCUAUCUCUCUCACAAAAAAAAAAAAAAAAAAAAAAAAAAAAAAAAAA